Molecule: small nuclear RNA, 105 nt
Filed under: Octodon degus (degu)
Lineage: Eukaryota; Metazoa; Chordata; Mammalia; Rodentia; Octodontidae
Source: RNAcentral
GUGCUCACUUCAGCAGCACAUACACUAAAAUUGGAAUGAUACAGAAGAUUAGCAUGGCCCCUGCGCAAGGAUGACACACAAAUUCGUGCAGCGUUCCAUACAAAU